This 414-nucleotide ribosomal RNA is filed under the name Aliatypus torridus. RNAcentral describes it as "partial 12S ribosomal RNA". Lineage: Eukaryota; Metazoa; Arthropoda; Arachnida; Araneae; Antrodiaetidae. The record is from RNAcentral.
CCAAAACAUUUUGACGGCCAAAUCUCUCAUCAGAGGAACUCGUCCAUUAAUUGUCACCACCCACUCAUUUUCACUUUAUCCAACAACCUUUAUACCGCCGUUAAUAUUGCCUUUGCGAAAACUCAAUAACAAAGACUUUCUCUAAAUCUUCAGGUCAAGGUGAAGUCAACGAUAAAGGUCGGAUAAGUUACAUUUAAAAAUUAUUUAAAGAAAGCUUUUCCAAAAAAAAUCUAGAAACAGGAUUUGAUAGUAUUUCAUUCGACAAUAAAAAUAAUUGAUGAAACUAAACCAAUGGUGUACAUAUCGCCGUCACCCUCGUUCAAAAAUGAGGCAAGUCGUAACAUAGUUGAAAUAUUGGAAAAUGUUUCAAGAGAAAGACAUUAAGCUAACGAUAGCAUUUCACUUCACUGAAAU